Molecule: transfer RNA, 71 nt
Filed under: Morus notabilis
Lineage: Eukaryota; Viridiplantae; Streptophyta; Magnoliopsida; Rosales; Moraceae
Rfam family: tRNA
About the family: Transfer RNA (tRNA) molecules are approximately 80 nucleotides in length.
Source: Rfam by way of RNAcentral
GGGCAUUGGUCUAGUGGUAUGAUUCUUGCUUUGGGUGUGAGAGGUCCCGAGUUCGAUUCUCGGAAUGUCCC